CACGUAGGGGGCAAGCGUUGUCCGGAUUUAUUGGGCGUAAAGAGCUCGUAGGCGGCUCGAUUAGUCGGGUGUGAAAUUCCGAGGCUCAACCUCGGAACGCCACUCGAUACUGUCGUGGCUAGAGUCCGGUAGAGGAGCGUGGAAUUCCUGGUGUAGCGGUGAAAUGCGCAGAUAUCAGGAGGAACACCAGCGGCGAAGGCGGCGCUCUGGGCCGGUACUGACGCUGAGGAGCGAAAGCGUGGGGAGCAAA
RNAcentral lists this ribosomal RNA (250 nucleotides) under uncultured Acidimicrobiia bacterium. Its description in RNAcentral is "partial 16S ribosomal RNA". It matches the Rfam family "Bacterial small subunit ribosomal RNA", at positions 524 to 772 of the family's 1533-position model. Lineage: Bacteria; Bacillati; Actinomycetota; Acidimicrobiia. The record is from RNAcentral.